UGGGGAAUAUUGGACAAUGGGGGGAACCCUGAUCCAGCCAUGCCGCGUGUGUGAAGAAGGCCUUAUGGUUGUAAAGCACUUUAAGCGAGGAGGAGGGUACUGGUAUUAAUACUACUAGCUACUGGACGUUACUCGCAGAAUAAGCACCGGCUAACUCUGUGCCAGCAGCCGCGGUAAUACAGAGGGUGCGAGCGUUAAUCGGAUUUACUGGGCGUAAAGCGUGCGUAGGCGGCUAAUUGAGUCGGAUGUGAAAUCCCCGAGCUUAACUUGGGAAUUGCAUUCGAUACUGGUUAGCUAGAGUGUGGGAGAGGAUGGUAGAAUUCCAGAUGUAGCGUUGAAAUGCGUAGAGAUCUGGAGGAAUACCGAUGGCGAAGGCAGACAUCUGACCUAACACUGACGCUGAGGUACGAAAGCAUGGGGAGCAAACAGG
This 430-nucleotide ribosomal RNA is filed under the name Pseudomonadota bacterium. RNAcentral describes it as "Proteobacteria bacterium partial 16S ribosomal RNA". It matches the Rfam family "Bacterial small subunit ribosomal RNA", at positions 355 to 776 of the family's 1533-position model. Lineage: Bacteria; Pseudomonadati; Pseudomonadota. The record is from RNAcentral.